GACCAGACUCCUACGGGAGGCAGCAGUGAGGAAUAUUGGUCAAUGGGCUUACGCCUGAACCAGCCAAGUCGCGUGAGGGAAGACUGCCCUAUGGGUUGUAAACCUCUUUUGUCAGGGAGCAAUUGGCGCUACGUGUAGCGUUAUCGAGAGUACCUGAAGAAAAAGCAUCGGCUAACUCCGUGCCAGCAGCCGCGGUAAUACGGAGGAUGCGAGCGUUAAUCGGAAUUACUGGGCGUAAAGCGCUCGUAGGCGGUAUGUCAAGUCAAGGGUGAAAUCCCCGCGCUCAACGUGGGAACUGCCUUUGAAACUGGCAAACUGGAGUGUGUGAGAGGAUAGUGGAAUUCCAGGUGUAGGAGUGAAAUCCGUAGAUAUCUGGAGGAACAUCAGUGGCGAAGGCGGUCUGCUGGACAGCAACUGACGCUGAGGCGCGAAAGCGUGGGGAGCAAACAGGAUUAGAUACCCUAGUA
This 467-nucleotide ribosomal RNA is filed under the name uncultured bacterium. RNAcentral describes it as "bacterial SSU rRNA". It matches the Rfam family "Bacterial small subunit ribosomal RNA", at positions 329 to 792 of the family's 1533-position model. The record is from RNAcentral.